UACGUAGGGCGCAAGCGUUGUCCGGAAUUAUUGGGCGUAAAGAGCGUGUAGGCGGCUCGGUAAGUCCGCUGUGAAAGUCCAGGGCUCAACCCUGGAAUGCCGGUGGAAACUGUCGAGCUAGAGUCCGGAAGAGGCGAGUGGAAUUCCUGGGUGUAGCGGUGAAAUGCGCAGAUAUCAAGGAGGAACACCAAUGGCGAAGGCAGCUCGCUGGGACGGUACUGACGCUGGAGACGCGAAAGCGUGGGAGCAAACAGG
Molecule: ribosomal RNA, 255 nt
Filed under: uncultured bacterium
Lineage: Bacteria
Description: partial 16S ribosomal RNA
Rfam family: Bacterial small subunit ribosomal RNA
Source: RNAcentral